This 524-nucleotide ribosomal RNA is filed under the name uncultured bacterium. RNAcentral describes it as "partial 16S ribosomal RNA". It matches the Rfam family "Bacterial small subunit ribosomal RNA", at positions 28 to 523 of the family's 1533-position model. The record is from RNAcentral.
GACGAACGCUGGCGGCGUGCCUAAUACAUGCAAGUCGAACGAAGCUGUUUUAACUGGUGCUUGCACCGACUUAAACAACUGAGUGGCGAACGGGUGAGUAACACGUGGGUAACCUGCCCCAAAGCGGGGGAUAACAUUUGGAAACAGAUGCUAAUACCGCAUAACCACAGAAACCACAUGGUUUCUGUGUAAAAGAUGGUUUCGGCUAUCACUUCGGGAUGGACCCGCGGCGUAUUAUCUAGUUGGUAAGGUAAUGGUUUACCAAGGCAAUGAGACGUAGCCGAACUGAGAGGUUGAUCGGCCACAUUGGGACUGAGACCCGGCCCAAACUCCUACGAGAGGCAGCAGUAGGGAAUCUUCCACAAUGGACGAAAGUCUGAUGGAGCAACGCCGCGUGAGUGAAGAAGGUUUUCGGAUCGUAAAACUCUGUUGUCAGAGAAGAACGUGUGCGAGAGUAACUGUUCGUGCAGUGACGGUACCUGGCCAGAAAGCCACGGCUAACUACGUGCCAGCCGCCGCUGUAA